AGAGUUUGAUCCUGGCUCAGGAUGAACGCUGGCGGCGUGCUUAACACAUGCAAGUCGAACGAUCCUUCGGGAUAGUGGCGGACGGGUGAGUAACGCGUGGGAAUCUGCCCUUAGGAGGGGGAUAACGGCUGGAAACGGCCGCUAAUACCCCAUAUGCCGAGAGGUGAAACGAAUCUCGCCUGAGGAUGAGCCCGCGUCUGAUUAGCUAGUUGGUGGGGUAAAGGCCUACCAAGGCGACGAUCAGUAGCUGGUCUGAGAGGAUGAUCAGCCACACUGGGACUGAGACACGGCCCAGACUCCUACGGGAGGCAGCAGUGGGGAAUUUUCCGCAAUGGGCGAAAGCCUGACGGAGCAACGCCGCGUGAGGGAUGAAGGCCUCUGGGCUGUAAACCUCUUUUCUCAAGGAAGAAGAACUGACGGUACUUGAGGAAUAAGCCACGGCUAAUUCCGUGCCAGCAGCCGCGGUAAUACGGGAGUGGCAAGCGUUAUCCGGAAUUAUUGGGCGUAAAGCGUCCGCAGGCGGCCUUGUAAGUCUGUUGUUAAAGCGUGGAGCUCAACUCCAUUUAAGCAAUGGAAACUACAAGGCUGGAGUGUGGUAGGGGCAGAGGGAAUUCCCGGUGUAGCGGUGAAAUGCGUAGAUAUCGGGAAGAACACCAGUGGCGAAGGCGCUCUGCUGGGCCAUAACUGACGCUCAUGGACGAAAGCCAGGGGAGCGAAAGGGAUUAGAUACCCCUGUAGUCCUGGCCGUAAACGAUGAACACUAGGUGUCGGGGGAAUCGACCCCCUCGGUGUCGUAGCCAACGCGUUAAGUGUUCCGCCUGGGGAGUACGCACGCAAGUGUGAAACUCAAAGGAAUUGACGGGGGCCCGCACAAGCGGUGGAGUAUGUGGUUUAAUUCGAUGCAACGCGAAGAACCUUACCAGGGUUUGACAUCCUGCGAAUCCCUUGGAAACGAGGGAGUGCCUUCGGGAGCGCAGUGACAGGUGGUGCAUGGCUGUCGUCAGCUCGUGUCGUGAGAUGUUGGGUUAAGUCCCGCAACGAGCGCAACCCACGUCUUUAGUUGCCAGCAUUCAGUUGGGCACUCUAGAGAGACCGCCGGUGAUAAACCGGAGGAAGGUGUGGAUGACGUCAAGUCAUCAUGCCCCUUACAUCCUGGGCUACACACGUACUACAAUGCUACGGACAAAGGGCAGCAAGCUCGCGAGAGUUAGCAAAUCCCAUAAACCGUGGCUCAGUUCAGAUCGUAGGCUGCAACUCGCCUACGUGAAGGAGGAAUCGCUAGUAAUCGCAGGUCAGCAUACUGCGGUGAAUACGUUCCCGGGCCUUGUACACACCGCCCGUCACACCAUGGAAGUUGGCCAUGCCCGAAGUA
Molecule: ribosomal RNA, 1372 nt
Filed under: metagenome
Description: bacterial SSU rRNA
Rfam family: Bacterial small subunit ribosomal RNA
Source: RNAcentral